AGUGAACGCUGGCGGUAGGCCUAACACAUGCAAGUCGAACGGCAGCACAGUAAGAGCUUGCUCUUACGGGUGGCGAGUGGCGGACGGGUGAGGAAUACAUCGGAAUCUACUUUUUCGUGGGGGAUAACGUAGGGAAACUUACGCUAAUACCGCAUACGACCUACGGGUGAAAGCAGGGGAUCUUCGGACCUUGCGCGAUUGAAUGAGCCGAUGUCGGAUUAGCUAGUUGGCGGGGUAAAGGCCCACCAAGGCGACGAUCCGAAGCUGGUCUGAGAGGAUGAUCAGCCACACUGGAACUGAGACACGGUCCAGACUCCUACGGGAGGCAGCAGUGGGGAAUAUUGGACAAUGGGCGCAAGCCUGAUCCAGCCAUACCGCGUGGGUGAAGAAGGCCUUCGGGUUGUAAAGCCCUUUUGUUGGGAAAGAAAAGCAGCAGGUUAAUACCCCGCUGUUCUGACGGUACCCAAGGAAUAAGCACCGGCUAACUUCGUG
This 492-nucleotide ribosomal RNA is filed under the name uncultured bacterium. Its description in RNAcentral is "partial 16S ribosomal RNA". It matches the Rfam family "Bacterial small subunit ribosomal RNA", at positions 29 to 507 of the family's 1533-position model. The record is from RNAcentral.